RNAcentral lists this ribosomal RNA (252 nucleotides) under uncultured bacterium. Its description in RNAcentral is "partial 16S ribosomal RNA". It matches the Rfam family "Bacterial small subunit ribosomal RNA", at positions 524 to 776 of the family's 1533-position model. The record is from RNAcentral.
UACGAAGGGGGCUAGCGUUGUUCGGAAUUACUGGGCGUAAAGCGCACGUAGGCGGAUUGUUAAGUUAGGGGUGAAAUCCCAGGGCUCAACCCUGGAACUGCCUUUAAUACUGGCAAUCUCGAGUCCGAGAGAGGUGAGUGGAAUUCCGAGUGUAGAGGUGAAAUUCGUAGAUAUUCGGAGGAACACCAGUGGCGAAGGCGGCUCACUGGCUCGGUACUGACGCUGAGGUGCGAAAGCGUGGGAGCAAACAGG